GGGCAUGUAGCGCAGUUGGUAGCGCGCUCGCUUAGCAAACCACGCUGCUGGAGAUGGUUGCGAGAGGUCCUCGAUUCGAAUUCGGGCUUGUCCA
Transfer RNA from Rhizoctonia solani, 94 nucleotides. It matches the Rfam family "tRNA". From Rfam's summary of the family: Transfer RNA (tRNA) molecules are approximately 80 nucleotides in length. Their secondary structure includes four short double-helical elements and three loops (D, anti-codon, and T loops). The record is from Rfam. Lineage: Eukaryota; Fungi; Basidiomycota; Agaricomycetes; Cantharellales; Ceratobasidiaceae.